GAUACCCCUGUAGUCCUGGCCGUAAACGAUGAACACUAGGUGUCGGGGGAAUCGACCCCCUCGGUGUCGUAGCCAACGCGUUAAGUGUUCCGCCUGGGGAGUACGCACGCAAGUGUGAAACUCAAAGGAAUUGACGGGGGCCCGCACAAGCGGUGGAGUAUGUGGUUUAAUUCGAUGCAACGCGAAGAACCUUACCAGGGUUUGACAUCCUGCGAAUCCCUUGGAAACGAGGGAGUGCCUUCGGGAGCGCAGAGACAGGUGGUGCAUGGCUGUCGUCAGCUCGUGUCGUGAGAUGUUGGGUUAAGUCCCGCAACGAGCGCAACCCACGUCGUUAGUUGCCAGCAUUCAGUUGGGCACUCUAGCGAGACCGCCGGUGAUAAACCGGAGGAAGGUGUGGAUGACGUCAAGUCAUCAUGCCCCUUACAUCCUGGGCUACACACGUACUACAAUGCUACGGACAAAGGGCAGCGAACUCGCGAGGGUAAGCAAAUCCCAUAAACCGUGGCUCAGUUCAGAUCGUAGGCUGCAACUCGCCUACGUGAAGGAGGAAUCGCUAGUAAUCGCAGGUCAGCAUACUGCGGUGAAUACGUUCCCGGGCCUUGUACACACCGCCCGUCACACCAUGGAAGUUGGCCAUGCCCGAAGUCGUUACUCCAACCCUUGUGGAGGAGGACGCCGAAGGUGGGGCUGAUGACUGGGGUGAAGUCGUAACAAGGUAGCUGUACCGGAAGGUGC
RNAcentral lists this ribosomal RNA (735 nucleotides) under uncultured Synechococcus sp. Its description in RNAcentral is "bacterial SSU rRNA". It matches the Rfam family "Bacterial small subunit ribosomal RNA", at positions 781 to 1515 of the family's 1533-position model. Lineage: Bacteria; Bacillati; Cyanobacteriota; Cyanophyceae; Synechococcales; Synechococcaceae. The record is from RNAcentral.